GGGCCCGUAGCUCAAUGGUAGAGCAUUCGACUCAAUUACAAAAUAUCGCUGGUUCGAAUCCCAGGUCUG
This 69-nucleotide transfer RNA is filed under the name Schistocephalus solidus. It matches the Rfam family "tRNA". Rfam says of the family: Transfer RNA (tRNA) molecules are approximately 80 nucleotides in length. Their secondary structure includes four short double-helical elements and three loops (D, anti-codon, and T loops). Lineage: Eukaryota; Metazoa; Platyhelminthes; Cestoda; Diphyllobothriidea; Diphyllobothriidae. The record is from Rfam by way of RNAcentral.